Micropterus salmoides (largemouth bass) is the source of this 719-nucleotide non-coding RNA. The record is from the annotation of a RefSeq genome assembly. NCBI's taxonomy places the organism in Eukaryota, Metazoa, Chordata, Actinopteri, Centrarchiformes, Centrarchidae.
GGGAGGGAUUAAGGGAGGAGCAAAACUGAGACUCAAGGUCAGAAAAGACAACAGAUGAUGAAGAGGAAGGGCCAAUGAUGUGAAGGCCCAGAUCCAUCAGAGUAUCAAUGUUCUUCCUCUCUCUCCUCCCCUCUCACUGCAGACAUGAACCACUGGCUGAGAAACAUCCUGAUUCUGACUCUCUGGCUAGAGUGUAAAGGAGAAGACAGAGUGACCCAGCCAGCAGGAGAUGUCAUUGCUGCUGAAGGAGACACAGUUACACUUGGCUGUACUUUUGAGACGAGUAGAGCAAGUCCAACGUUGUUCUGGUACAAACAAGAAGUAAAUGAGUCUCCUAAGUACAUGCUGAAAAGUUACUCAAAAACAACAGAUUUUGCUGCAGAGUUCACGAAAGACAGAUUUAAUGCUACAAUCAAGGAUAAGUCAGUUCCUCUGAAGAUCCAGAAGCUUCAGCUGUCUGACUCUGCUGUGUACUACUGUGCUCUGCAGCCCACAGUGACAGGAAACACCAAAACUCUGUACAAAAACCUUUGGAGCAAAGACAACAGAAUACUCCACAACGUCCACUAGAGGGAGUCACACACUGUUAAACUUCAGUGUGAUGAUGAAGUCUGGAUUUAUUUCAACUUGAACAAAUUCAUGUAUUACUGUCAAUAUAAUGUAUGUACUGUUGUACUCCAGUAUUGGAGAAAAGCAUUUUCACAGUUUGAAAGAAGCAG